UGCCUGAUGGUGUAAUGGUAGCACAGGUGACUUUGACUCACCUAGUCAUGGUUCGAAUCCAUGUCGGGCAGCCA
Molecule: transfer RNA, 74 nt
Filed under: Lacunisphaera limnophila
Lineage: Bacteria; Pseudomonadati; Verrucomicrobiota; Opitutia; Opitutales; Opitutaceae
Also listed under: 4 other names
Description: tRNA-Gln
Rfam family: tRNA
About the family: Transfer RNA (tRNA) molecules are approximately 80 nucleotides in length.
Source: RNAcentral